Molecule: ribosomal RNA, 88 nt
Filed under: Klebsiella aerogenes
Lineage: Bacteria; Pseudomonadati; Pseudomonadota; Gammaproteobacteria; Enterobacterales; Enterobacteriaceae
Description: partial 23S ribosomal RNA
Source: RNAcentral
AUAGGUCGGGUGUGUAAGCGUAGCGAUACGUUGAGCUAACCGAUACUAAUGAACCGUGAGGCUUAACCUUACAACGCCGAAGGUGUUU